GAAAAGCAUUGUUUCAGUCCAACAACCCAAACUUCCUUAAAAAACUAAGACCAAAACGACGACAUUAGGAAACGGAAAAUCAUGCAACUCAGAAAACCAUUGCUCUAGUCCAAAUGAGGUUCUUCAAUGCCUCAAGCUUUUCUAAACACCAUAGCCUGAACCUUUUCCUUUGCGCCUUCUUUACUUCACCAGAAACGUUCUUAAUGAGCUCUUCUUCAAAUUUGGGACGAGCAGGCAUUAGGCUGUGCACAAUGCUGUAAAUGCUCCUAGCCCUUGCCACACCCUAGGCGCAUACGCGUGCAUGUCCGACCUGAGUUAUCUCAUUACGCGCGCAGUUUGAUCUUCCCGUAUUGACAUCCCUGCUGUCUAUUCUCCUGCGAAUCCUUCUACUGGUGACUUCAUCCGGGUCCAUUUUCUUGCUCCUCAGUGCAUGUUCAUCUGCUUUUCCAUGUUAAUAGAUAUAGGAAUCCUAUGAGAAACAACAUUUGACAAAACAGAACCUAAUAAUAACAACAAAACUUGACUUCAUCCUCAGUGCAUGUUCAUCUGCUUUUCCAUUUCAAAGCAGCUGACGGCAUGAUUCGUACUUGGACUCCAAGAUGUCUAGAUUAUAGGGAAACCAGCCCUCUAUCCAAAACACACAAAGAAGUGUAUUUUCCGUUUAUACCAAUUAAGUGUGUUGAAGCAUGUCCCACAUGGCCACAUCGGAAACUUGUCGAAGCUUAAAUCCUCUUAUAUAGAAAGUUGAACUACUAAUGCCAUGAGGCCUUAAUUUUGUAUAAAACCAUACUUAUUGAAUUGCACACGUGCUUAAGUUAAGGUCAGUAUUGAUGGCAAUUAGUAGUGGGCCGCUGGGCCGUCUUAAAAAAACUGGUACAAAGGGCAAUUUAUAGAAGCAGUGUUGAGAUAAGGGCAAUUCACCUGUUCCUUUUAGAAGGAUAUAUACGAAUGAAGCAAGGUUUAUCUACUCACCCGUAAUGCGGCUCAGCCCUUCAUAAAAAAGUGAAAGAUCAAAAUUACUUUUACAGCAAGAGCAAUACCAGAAGAUGUAAUCUAAAUUAUUUAUAUUUGGUUCCCUUGAAAUCCUUUUGACUGCUUCAACAUACUAUAUGCAAACAGAACCAGAACCAAGUCCAGACUCACUCGUAAGAGGAAGUCCACCGGGGGUGGGAUAGGUCGGCACCCAAUGGAAAAAACAGGCUGAGACUCAGCCAAUCCACUCCAGCCCGUGGAAUCGACUGGCACCCAGCCCAAGCCAGUCCACAGGCCGACCUAAAAUUGACAGACCUUGGGACCGGCUCAAAUGACAACUAGCUGACGCCAGCGUGGUGUCGAGGGCAAGGAGCCACGGAGGCAAGGCAAAGACCAACUUCCCCACCCCCACUAAGCUCCAUCUCGACGCCGUCAACAUCGCCAACAUGAACAAUGCCGCCAAAUUAGCUGCGACGACGAACAUCAGCAACAGCCACAGCAGCACCGUGGAGUCCUCCUCCUUGCCGUCUCCGCGCCCGCUCGACCUCACUCUCAAAACCCCCCUCUUGUCCACCGACAGCGGCUACUUCACUGCUGCGAGCGGCUUCCGCCUGCUUCCCGCUUCCCGGGAAUUAUCCUUCCGCGAAAGAUCCCCCCGCGAAACUUGUAGGUUCGACCACCCCCCCUCCCCCACGAAACAUCCCCAUAUUUUCCUUCCGGACCAAGUUUGUUCCUCUUUUAUGUAAGAAACAAAAUCCCUGCCCAGCUUUAUAAUAAUUAAUUUAUAAUAAAAAAUAAAUAUUUUUAUUAUUUUAUAAUAAAAAUAAUAUUUUAAUAAAAUUGACUAGGCUAUUUUUUGUUAGGGAUAGAGAUGCAUUGGCCUAUUACUAUUCAUUAGAGUCUAUCGGGAAUGGAUAAAUGGGUUGGGUGCUGGCAUAAAGUCCUUAGAGGUGGACUUGCUCUAAUAGGUCUCCUCAUCCACAACAAUAUCCCAGCUUUCCCUUGUCGUGGUUUUCCCAUAUUUGUGCACCUUACUGCAAAGAGAGAGCAAGUUAACUUGUCAAAGAAAAACCAGAACAAUAGAUGCCAAUGCAGUUCAGAAAGCUUAUUUCCCUUCAUACCCAUUUCCAAAGUGCUCCUCCCCACGUCCUUGACCAACCUAGACAUGAGACAACAAAAACAAAGUUACAUCAGAUUAAAUUAUUGAAAGAAAAAGGUUCACUUCUGUUGUAACAAAUUGACAUUAGAAUCAAGCAACCACGCUAUGAAAUACAAAGUUAAAAUGUAACAAUUUACUGUGUCUUAAAGGAAUCUGUGAAAUAAAAUAGUUAAACCCUAAACAACACCACUGCAAAUUAGGGGUGGGCGCGGUUCAGUUUUGAUUGAAACCAAAACCAAAACCGCAAGUUUUUGCGGUUUGGUUCGGUGCGGUUUUGAAGCCAAAACCAAAAUGAAACCAAACCGUUUGGUUCGGUUCGGUGCAAUUUCAAACGGUUUCAGUUUGGUUUUUAAGAAAAAAUGUACGAUUUGCAAUUUAACAUAUUAAAAAGCAUUUCCCAAUAGUAAUAGGAAAAUGACAUUUGUUAUGUAAACAAUUAGCAUGUUGCAUGUAGUUGUGAUGUUAAAACAUGUUUGUGCAACAAAAAGGUGUCCCUUACAAUAUUUUUCAUAAAACAAGUUGAAUAAAUUUGAAUUCAUUAAACGUGAGCGAAAUUUUCAUACUAGAAUAUGUGAUAUCAUGCUUCAAAUGAGUGGCCUUUAGUAGAUCAUUGUUCGACUCUUGAUAACAAGAUUAGUCCACCCUUGUACAUAUAUGUGUGUGUGAUGGUAUAAAAUAACAAAGGUCAUUCAAGUUAAUGAACAAAAGAGAGUGAUGAAUGAUGAUAUUCUAGUGUGGUUGAGUCCAUACUAAGUGUAUGGAUUUUAACAAACGACCAAUUAAAACAUGAAAUCUAAUAUGGACAUUUAAUUAAAUGUUUAUUAAUAUUUGCGGUGCGGUUUUCAAAAGCCAAAACCGAAACCAAACCGUUUUCUAUGUUGCGGUUCGGUUACAAAACCGAAACCGUUUCAAAACCGCAAAACCAAACCGUUCGGUGCGGUUCGAUUUGGUUCGUGUUUCGAUUUCGGUUUUCGGUUCUAAGUGCCCACCCCUACUGCAAAUAGCAUAAGAAAAUUAAAAUUAACCCUAAAGAAAUUGGGAGAGAAGAAUAUGAAAAGGGAAUACCUUUCGGCCCUUUGAGUUAUUGGAAAAAACCCAACAGAGCAAAAGAUAAGCAAAAAUACAGGAGGAAAGAAAAUAAAUUUUCAACUUGUAAGAUUCAUACGCGAACAUAUUGGCGGUCAAAAGCAUUUCGGAACUCAGAGCCAUCAAGCUUUUUGAUCUGCAUGGAAAUUAUUUAUGAAGUUUGAGAUUCUUAUAGACGCUUUAGACACAUCGACAUAUUGAAAAAGCAAUAUUCAACAACCUAGUACCCAUGCUCCAUGAAAGGUUACAGAAAAUAUGAAUGACUGGACUCUGGAGUGAGAAAGUAAAAGGACUUACCGCAUACUUCAUAUCUUCUAAGUUUGUGUAGUCUACAAUCCCUGUUGUGCCUACAAAAAAGGCAUAGGACAAAAGCUAAAUCAAUCGAAAUUCUGAUGUCUCAUGAUCUAGGUCGUAGGAUUAAACUACUGAAAUAACACUAUAUGAAAUAGCAGUGUAUAUCCCAAAAAAAGUCUGAAAUCUGGUUGAUAAUUGAAGAGUUCGAAGGGAUUUACCUUUGGAUUCUUUGGCUUUCAGAUGGAGUUUGCUUAUGUGUGGGGGAGAGAGGUGGAGCGGCUAGAGCUUGAGUAUGGAAGAGAUGAAAAAUGCAGAGAGCACCUGUUUUGGCUGAAGCAACUCACACACUCUGGACAAAUCUGCAAAUGUCUAAAAGGGGGAAAAUAUAAAAAGAAACCUUAACAACUGAAUUCAAAGAAACAUUAUUACAUUGUAAAUAACAUUUCACAAAAAAAAAAAAAAACUAAACUAAACUAAUUACACUCGGAUUGCAAUGCUAUCAUUUAAUAAUAGGAAUUCCCAUAACUUAGCAGAAGACCUGCAUCUGCAAAGGAUUCUUUAAAACCUAUUUUUUUUAACAACCCCGCACCUGCAACACAUCCAGGCAAGGUAAACCAAUAGCACCCUCAUGCUGAGCUCUUCUGUGCAUAUAUACCCCUUAUAAGUAAUCUUAAUCAAUCAGUUAUCAUGAAUAUAGUCAGUUAUCAUGAAUAUACAACUUAUAUUAAUUUUCUACAAUAUCCAACACACAAAUAUAACAGAAGAGGAAACUUUUACUUAAGCAGCACAAAAUGAUAUCCUCUGCAUUUCAUUCCAAAAUCCAUCACUCUUAUGUCUUUGCCUGCACAGUUUUUGCUCCAACAUAGCACACCAUGAUGAUAGCACUAUCAAUAAUUAAGACAUAAAGAAAGGCUAUCCUAGCUAGGUAUUAUCAUUGGAGUAAACCAACAACACCAUAAGUAAAGUAGCAGACCAAAUUUUUUCUAGAAUUGAUGUCUUAACAUGUUUAAGUAGCGAAAAGAUUACAACACAUUGGAUGUGUUAACACAUCCAUAAGCUAAUGACUCCCUCUCCAGUUUACCGCAUCAUUCUUAAUGUAUUCAACAAUGCAGCAGUAAUUAAAAGUCCUUGGAAAAUGCCAAGCUACUACAAUGACAUAACGAAAACUAUAUCUCACCAUACCCCCUUGUUGGCAUAGACAGCAUAUCCGUCCUUGUUCAGGGUGAAUCAUUAUCCUGAACUCAAUUAUCAUCAUCGUCGAGAAUGUCAAACUUUAAAUCAACCAUGCAUGGAACAAAACCUAGAAAUUAAACAAUUAUCAAAGCUUAUGAAGAAUGCUAAACCCAACUAAUUCGAAACAUAAAGUAACCCAAAAGAGAGAAAACUUAUAAAUUUUACAUAAAUUAUAAUCCUUAACAGAAGGAUGGAACAAAGCAUGUUCAUUCUUGAGAAUAGGUGUAAUUUUGCACAUUGCAUAUAUGUACAUUAAGGACGGUGGUAACAUACCUUGUAAUUUGUACAAAUUAGGAUUUUCAUUCAAAGAACCAUAAUAUACACAAUUACAAAAACAGUGAUACAAACUUGUUCUUCUCUUAAGGAAAUUACUCACAGUUGAAAUUCUGAAUGGACAAAGUUUUGGCAUCCCUUUCCGACUAUAUUUGAUUAACCUUUUUUUAAUCCAAUGAGUGCCUUCAUGAGAGAGAGAGAGAGAGAGAGAGAGAGAGAGAGAGAGAGAGAGGAAUAUUCGGUGAAAAGUAUUGCCAAAUCACACAGAGAUCAAAAUCUUGAAUAUAUAUGUUUAACCAUAUCAAAGUGAGUGUGUGAAAGGGUGUAGUCUGCAGAAAGGGCAACAUUUUCACUGCUAGAAAGUUGGAAACUAAACUUUUACACAGAUAUUGGAUUUUAUUAAUUCCCUCCGCGAAUUGAAAAGCAAAUUGUUCGAGUAAUGCAGGUAAAUUCGAUAUACAUAUGCGUUGAUCUAUGUAAGACGGUUAUAAGUUAUAACUGUAUCGUCUUAACACAAAAAAUGAUCAUAAAUGUAAGUGUCUGUAUUAUGGAAGUAAGGGACUUGCAGCAAUUGCUAUGAGCUCUAACAGCAGUCACUCCAAGUACCCUAUUAUGGAAGUAAGGGACUUAGUAAGGGACUUACAUCAAUUGCUAUGAGCUCUACCAGCAGUCUCUCAAAGUGGUGCAAGGGCUAAAAUUAUAAAUAAAAAGUAAUUUAAACAAUUUAACUUAAUAAAAUAUUGUAAUUUAAACAAUGCCUAUAUAUUCAAACAUCCCAAAACAGGAAUGAACUUCCAGAAAACAUGCGCAUGAAAAUAAACGGCAUUACUCACCCAUUGAGUUGGACCAUCAAACUAGAGCGUAAGAAGGAUCAUCAUGUACCUAUGAAACCCAAAGGAAAAUUUUAGCAACCCCAAAGCUUGUAUGCAAGCGUGAAUAAGUAUGCAUGUAUGAAUCUAUUCAUAGUGAAGAAGGCUACCUUAAGAAAUAUUUGCAUCUGCAGCUUCAUAUGGCCAUACAACAAAAAGCACCGCAUAUGAUAACAAACCCCAGCUGCACCACAAAAGGAAUAUGAUCUUCCUCUCAACUUGUAUUUGUAGUUGUUACUGUAACAUCUGCAGACAGCAUACAUAAGCACUGAUUCGAUAAUUCUAAAGGGAAAAAAGUCCUUAUUCGAUAAUGCACCAAAUCCUAUCCAAAAACCAAGUGGGUGCCAUAUCCCUAGAUUAACAGAGCAUCUUUCUUUGUUCCAAAACAAAUUGCAAUUGGCUUUGGUAAAGUAGAAAGAUUACCAGAUACCGACUCUGUUCCAUUAUUCGACUGUCCUUUUAGUUCUGUCUCUCAACAUGGGAAAUACAAUAAGACAGUAAAAACAAAAGUUAGUGAUGCUAUUACAUAGUGAAAGAAAAUAAGACAUUCACAUAUUGAUAGCUAUUUACUGUCCUUUCUCAUCAUAAUCUUGGCCCCUAUAUAUACAUAUAUUGAAUUUUGAAAGCAAUGAGAGAAAUAUACCUUUGGGGCGUCACCGCCAGAAGGGUGAGUGAGGGAUCUAAGAUGUUUAAGAGCAGGAAUUUUUAAGUAAUUUGUGUGAAAAAGUUGAAGAGCUUCGAACAUAGUGGAGUGGGUUGGCCUGGGCUAAAAUAAAGAGGAUGAACUCUAGAAAGUAGAAAAUGUUGUUGUUCAACCAAACUCAAAAGUAAAGAAACCAUAUGAUUAACAUAUAAAUAAGUUUUAUAUACCAAUGUUUACAUGUACGUUGUUUGAGAAGGUAAAUUAGCAACAUAUACAGUGAUCAAAAGAUUAACAGCAAUAAACUGCUCAUUAUUCGAAAUAUACAAGAAAGUUGUCAUUCACAUGAUCCAAAUGGCAGAGGACAAAACAGAAGGAAGCAAAUAUUAUAGCAGCAUAAGUUGAAUAAUUGCAGCAAGUAAACAAAUAGAAAGGCUAGCUAGAUUACACAAUCCAGUUCUAGGUCGGACUAACCAUGUUAGCCAUCCGCCCACCACCAGCACCGUCGGCUUCUUAUUAAAAAUGUAGAAUAGAAGACUAAAAAAUUGGAAAUGAAAGCAGGUAACAUUGAGUUUUAAUAACCAAAAAGGGACACUGUUUAAGCAGCUCCACAACAGCAAUAAUACUUGGAUGAUGACCUGCAAAAACAGAAAAGAAAACACAAAUUAAACUAAAAAAAUAUAAAAUUUAACACUAAUCCAAGGAUUAAAUAUCAAAUAUAAAUUCAUUAGGAUUGGGACCUUUGCAUUGAGGAAUAUCUACUACAUUAUGAGUUCCCUCUUGAUAAAGCCCAAUCAGGGGGUUUUUCGAUGAGCCAAGAACGGCUAACUUUGCGUGACACCGCCAUCCCCACUAACACCAAACCCAGAUAAUAUCAAGAUCAAAACUAACCAAUACCAGAAAGAUUUUUUUAUUUAAAUUUUAAGAAAAGACCUAAACUUUACGAAAUUAAGGGGGAAAACAAAGUUAAGUAAAGCACCAAUUUGCAACUGUCAAAAGUGAAAUAUGAGACUCCAACUGUCUAGAAGAACUCCGUGGCCUCAUCGACGAUGACCGGAUGGUGGAGAUUGAACUGGUGCGUACACCCGAAACACCUGAUUAUACACCGAACAGAGAACAAAAUUUAAAUCAAGUCGAACAAUAAUUAUGAGAAAAUAAACUAAAAGGGAUUUGAGCUGAGAGUUACGAUUCGAAGUGCGGGCAAUGGAGGGUGCAGGUUAGCGGCGGCAGAGAAGGGGUUGAGCUUGGGUUCAGGUCCGUUUUAGGAGGUGGAGGCUCUUGAUAGAAGAUUGGCAUUGGAGUCGUUUUACAAAUCAGUUUCUUCCUGAACAUCCUAAUGUCAGCUUCUAGAGUUUCCUGUAAAAGAACAGACAACAUUCAUAAUAAGAAAAUCUCUCUAUGCAAUCGCAGAAAUCCCUCGGGUUUCAGGAAGCAAAUGGAAAAUGAAAUGCUUUUCUCCCGUAUCUCUCUCUCUCACCUCUGUCCCAUCUCUCUGUCUCCAAAUCGCAGAAAAGAAACCCUAAACAAAUCCCUGAAAUCCCUCGCCUAAAUCCUCCUACAUUUCUCUCGGACAACCCCCUCUUUCUCUUUGCAAACCCUAAACCAAAUCUCCUAAAUCCUAUCUCAGGCACCACACAUACAGCCAAGAAGCCAAGAUAUUAAAGCAAUCUCUAUAUAAUACUUUGGAACAAUGAAGAAAAAUGGUACUUACUUGUUCCUUGUCCAAAACAGUUGGUGCCGCCGCACAUUGUUAUCAAUUGUGGGUUGAUCAAAUCCUUCAUGGCUUAGACUGCAUGAAGAAUUAGAAACUAAAAGAUGAAUAUAUGCCGUAAAUCAUCAUAUAAAUGUAACUGCAUUUAAAAAAAGAAGGGAAUGACAAAAUUGAAUUCUAUUUCAUCAGUAUGUAACUGCAUGAAAAGUUACUUUGAAUGAAGACUCGAUCAAUUUCCCCAAAGUCAUUGUUAACUGAAAAUCAAUAUCAAACCCAUAAAUACCACAUUGAAUUUGACCAAGUUAAAGGAUAAAGGCAGUCGCAUCAUCGUAUUACUCUUUGGGAAGAUCUUCUAAUAAUGGUUCUUCCUUUUUCUUGCUCUUCCUCAGAACUGCCAUAAAAACCCCAGAGAAGCAUACAAAUUCAGAAAAGAAAAGGUUCAAAACUGCCAUAAAAAAAAUCCAGAAAGCAUACAAAUUUAUCAGAAAGAAAAGUUCAAAUUACAAAUACCAAAUGAUGUGAGUGAGUAGUGAGAGGUUGUGUUAGGCACCUGAAACACAUUUUGGUUUCAAUUGAAAGGGCCAGAGACAACAUCCACAUUCUUUUUUCUUGGGUGAACUAACCAAAUCAUAUUAUAUACUAAAAUGACAUAAAAAAUCAUUCACAAACUCACAACAAAAUAGAACAAAAAGAUUCACAAAAGAUUUGGGAGUUGAGACGCUAACAAAAACAUUUCUUUUCUAAACAAAUACACAACCGCUAAUCUGGGUUUGGUCAAUUUAACUAAAACGGUGCGCUAUUUUGCAUCUAAAUAUAGUAUAUCGCUUAAAUAAAAUUAAUAAAAAAUACACAUCCAAAGCUUUUAGUCCAAAGCUAGAAUUAGGAAUAACUGAGGAAGUUAAUGAAGGCAAAGCAGAGGGUAGGAUGCAGAACAUACCAAGAGACCAGUAGGCCAUCGGGGCCGGUCUGCCGAUGAACGCUGUGUACUGGUCGACAACGCCCAACGGAGUCGGCGCAGAAAAAAAGUAAAAGUCGAAACCACCCCCAAUGACUUUGUAGGUGAGAGAAGUCCCUAUGUAGAACACAUUCAUGCCAUUGCUGUUGAGCAGCAGAACGCAGUGCGCGUAAGCCUCGUUGCCCACAUUCCGGAGAUCCAUGUAAACUGGGUGGGACCCGUACAAAUCAGUGUUGAGAUUGAUCGCCGAGAAGUCAGUGGUGAAGAUGAUGUAUGGAUCGUUCGGGUAGAGCUUGAUCCCGUGCGGCUGAGAGUUCUCUUCGAGGCCGUACAAGGAGGAGUCUUUCGGCACUCGGGUGGAUAUCUUGAUGUCUGGUCCUUAAACACCAGUACUAGUCCAAUAAACCACUCCGCUUUUAUUGAUUUUCAAUUCAUGUUCAUUCGGGUCCCAAACAAGACUGAACGGCCCCGGAGCCGGGUUGUAGGUAUCUACAUAUGAUAUAAGUGCCCAGACGUGGCCAGCACUGCGGUUGACACCUAACUUCAUACCCGGUAAAAAUGUGUCUCCAGGAUAAUCACUUCAGCAGAUCGAGGGUGAUUUGAGGUGUUUUCCCGCUGAAUUGGACUUCGACCCAGGUAUGAAAGUUGUUCCUCUUAUCGAGAUCUUCAUUCAUGUAAAAUUUGGGAAUUUUAGAAUUGUUGAAUUCUUCGGCGAGUCAGGGCUACCAGCCGCCACGUGCUUCGGCGCGUGGCCCUUUGGCCGCCGUCCCAUGGCGGCUCGUGCGGUGAUGUAUGCAGGAAAACCUAAGGUUCCUCCUUAGGUUUUUCGAUGUACCAAACCCGAAUCCGCCGUCCUUUUUCCAAAAUUCUAACGUUUUCAUAGAGUUUUAUUAAACGACCUUUAAUUGUGUUUAGGUGCAUCGGUGGAAGUGACCUCAUUCUUGAUGGUUCGAGCGGCUUUCGGGCAAUGGAAAACUUGUGAGUAGACCCCUUCUAAACUUAUAUAUUGUUAUAAAAUAUUAGCCUAGCAUGCAUUCCAUAUUUCAUGAUUUGAAUAUGAUUUAUAAUAUGCUUUAUGGACUUUUAAUUAUGGUUUACGAAAUAGUUUGAUUUAUCGAAAUUACGUUUUAUUAGGUAUUGAAUUAUUGGAUUUGCAUAUAUGGAUUUCUAUGGUUUUCAAAUACGAUUUAUAUUACGGUUUUACGAACAUGAAUUAUUUUAUGGAUUUCAUGAAUACAAUUUAUCUUGGAUUUAUGAGAUGAGACUUUGAGCUAGUGAGCUCCGGGUUUGAUAUGAGUUUUGAGAUAUGUUUUUGGUACUUAUCUAGUGGGUUAUCAUACAGCACAUCCGCACACCACGGGUAUAGAUGUGUAUGGCCAUAGGACACAGAUGAUGAGGAGGAGUAAGAUAUGAUAUAUUAUAUACCCCCAGUUCACUAUCGAAAGCAGUGUCAGAUAACCUCACUAGCCAUGGCUAGUGUCGGUAUGGAUGUUAUGCUAUUUCAUACAGCUUCACCUUCGGGUGAUAGACAGGUUAUUUAGCUUCACCGUCGGGGUGAUGGACAUGUACUACCUUCGGCCAACUAUGAUAGCCUUAGUUGAGCACUUCACUGACAAGAUUUACAAAUUUGCCUUCGGGCAACGACAUUUUCAUUAUCAAGCACUGGAUUUUACAUAUCUACCUUCUAAAUGGAUUUUCAUGGCAUGCUAGGGUUUUUCAUAAAGCCUAUAUGUAGUAUUAUAUAUGUUUUCAAAAUAAGGGGUUAUUAUGUUCAUAAAUAAAAUGUUUUCCUAUUAUUAGUAUUAUUAAUAUAAACUUUGGUCCACUCACCUUUUCAGUUUUUGCGCCUCCUCAGGAGUUAGGAUCGAGGCACAUGAUCCCGGCAUCAUGGCAUGUUGAUAUAGGUAUCCUUGAAUCUUCUCAGUGUAGGUAUCAUUCCCUUAUUCAUAUCUUUUUAUAGUGAUUCUUCCCUAUUAUUUCUAAUUAGUUGUAUGCUCUAAACACAUUCCUGCUUUGGUAAUCGUUAUAACUACUUAUCUUGUAAUUGUUUGCAUGUUUAAAAUGGUUUUGUCACCCUUGGGCGUGGGCUAGCACGUGCCUACCCUGGUAUGUUGGGAUAUCGGGGUUGGGGCGUGUCAAAGAUAGAGAGUGAAUUUCUAGCAGAUUCAAUGGUUGUCUACAUUUUAAAAAGAGCUUGCCGAAAAGAUUGAUUCAGAUGAAAUAACAAAGGAUUUCAAUUCCAUUAAGGAUUGAAGGGCACAACUUGAAUAGGUAUUUUUCUUUUUAUUUGUUAGGUUGUUAUGACAAGAUUGACGAUGUAUGUUUCUUUAUAUUGUAAGUUGCAACUUUAAAGGUUUUCUUUGUUAAAUCUAGUUGAAACUUGAUUCAUUUAGAGUUAAAUUUCUUACUUCAAAUUGUUGCUUUUAGGCUUAUUAUUGUGUAACUUUAUGCAAGCAACAAAAAAUUUUAACCAUUUGAUUUUGUACUAAUAAUUUUAGCUUAGCAUGCCACCAAAUAAUUCAUGGCUCCGCUAUUGAAAUCUUAGCAUGUGCAAUUUCAAAGUCUCGGUUGCCAAGUCUCCCCAGGCUGUUCAGCACCCAUUCUGAAUCUUGAUCGAGAUCUAGAGCAGUGCAAGUCAAGGAGUCUUCAUUCUCAUUUGAAACAAUGCUAAAAUUAUACCUCAGCUUGGACUCCUUGGGCAAAAUAUACCCAAAUGUAUUAGUACUACUUGUGGAUACACCACUAGUCCAAAAAAAUCACCUCUCCUUUCUUAAUCUUCAAUUGGUGAGGGUCCCAAUCAAGCGUGAAAGGCCCCGGCGCACGGUUGGCUUUAGUUUCCCAUGAUGAAAUCCACGAAACAUGGCCGUUUGUACGGUUGACACCCAAUUUCAUGCCCGGUAAAAAGGUGUCAACUGGUAAUCAAAGCUUUACGUUCACUUCUUCUUGUACAAAAUUUCCCGAAUCCAAAAGGAUAGCCACAACAGUAGCAAUACUGUUACUUAUGUUGGUAGACCUAGUAGUUUGUGGAGCUGAGAAAAACGCAAUUGGAUUAGGAUCCCCCCCGCAUAAUUUUCAAGGUUUUAUUCCUGUCCAAGGCAAGAGUGCGUACAAAAUAGGGGCUUUACGGUUGCAAAUCCAAGCAAUGUUGCCAUCGGCCUUGUUGCUCUGGAUAGAUACGUAGCUGGUGCUUUUGGAACUGUCGUCGUGUACACAGGAACUGAAACUGAACUUCUCCGAUGCAGAGACCAAAGAAUUUGAGGAGUUGAGAGUGUCUCCUGCUGGUUUCAGUGUGUCCCUUGCAGGUCCACAGUCAGCAUGCAAAAAUGAUUAAGUUGAUUAUUGCCAUGAUUAAUUAAUGACCAUAACAUGAAGUUUAAUUUCUCCAUAUGAUGAGGAAGAAAGACAUGAAAUCCAUCACCAGAACAUGAUUAAGAAUUUAAUCAAGCAACGCGUCUCAGUUAAACCAUUACAAUCUUUGUACAAGGCAUUUAUAAAUUAAAAAAAAAGGGAAUAAAGUAAUAAUUACAAGUUUUACACAAGUGACCAUUUAUUACAAUGGUGGAAAGGUGUUAAGCUUUUGCAUGACGGUGUGAGUUCGAACCUCGUCGGUAGUUAAUCUACGAACCCCGUCGGUAGUUAAUUUAACUUCUAAUCUAAUAAAAUCUAUUUUUUGACCAAAAAAAAAAUAAUUACAAGUUUUACUAAAAAUUUAGGGGUGUGAUAUCCACACACCCCUUUUUACUUCUCUUACACCUUUUUUAUUUUCGACCGUCGGAUAUGAUGAAUUGAAGAAAAUCAACGGACAAAAAUUAACAAGGAAUGUGUGAGAAGUAAAAAGGGGUGUGUGGAUAGCACACCCCAAAAUUUAUCGGAAGACUUGAUCACCCAUUUGUAUGCUGACAACGGUGACUAGAUUCACAACCUCUUUCCCACGUAAAUCACAUCAUCCAAUUUUAUUUUUCUUACAACAUAUCACGUAUCUGUCAUAUGCAAGACUUUUUUUUUUUGUUUAACAUGAAAACGAAGACUUUUUUGGAAUAUGGAGAGUGAAAUUGCAGCGGAAGCAUCCUAGAUUUUUGAUCGAAUAUUGAGUUUGGUUUCAUGCCAGACUUCCUGGAUCAAACACACCCUAAAAAAAUAUAUAAAAAACCAAUAAGGUCAUGUGAUACGACAUCAUUUCAAGAGGAAAGGUACAAACAAUCUAGUUUCUAUACUAGGAAGAUUCACUCGAACAAAUUCUUGGAAACUAUGACUCAAACAAAAUUCUAGGAAUUCAGUAUUUUUAACAAAUGAUAAGCGUUUAAGAUAUAUUCUUUAUAAUAUUAGAGAAAUCGAACGGUUGAUCUAUAACUCGCAAAGUGGUUGUAGCUCAAGUAAUUUUACUCCCCAAUUUUACAUAAAACAUAAAAUAAAAACAAAUCCUAAUUUACAUGGUAAUUUUUUUUCAUAGCUAGGGACAACUUCGACUAUGGUAAUGCAAUUAAUAUACACUAGUUUUGGAUGGAGAAGUUUCAAGAUUGAGUAUGGGAUGGGGAGGGGCGAGAGACUUGGAUGGAGAGGUGAGGUUUUAUGAGUUAAACAGUGAUGCAAGGAUGUAUUACUUAAAACUUUAGAGACCGUAUGUUGGGCUAUAUAUAAUAUACGUUACAUGGAUAAUUGUUUAACUCAUAAACGUUUUGAGUGUUUCUAACAUAUGCUUAUCAAAAGCCUUCUCGUUCCAUCAAACAAUACGAAAAUUUUCAAUUGAAUGAAAGACAUACUAUUUUAUAUAUCACAGUACUUCAUGGAUCAUCAUCAUCACAUAUCCUUAAUUCAAAGGUAAUAAAUGAGCAUCUAGUUUUAUUUUAAUUUUAUUUUAUAUAGGGACUACAGAAGCAAGCACCCUCUGUAAAUUAAACUCUAAAACUUCUCAAGUAUCUUGAAAGGUGCCAAAAGCCAUCAGCCAACUCCAGUUGAUGCAUAACCUCCUACAUUUACAAAAACAGCGUCGCCGUUAAUUUAUUGACUUCUUCCCAGGACACAUACCAAUUUGCGAAAGUGGUUUGACUGAUGCUAUAAUUAGUCGAGUAAAGUACAGUCUUUUCAAUUAAGCAGAUGCAAAACACUUAGUUGAUGCACUACAAAUAUGAUUUUUACCUUUAAUUAACGCGCUUCAAAAUCAGAACUGGACUUGUAGUUUGCUGAAGCAACAGUUUCAAGUUGCUGAUUCCCACUUAUACCAGCCUCCACCGUCCUCCUUCCAACAAAAAAUGCUGGCUUUGUUGGUGAUGCUAAUGGAAAGCUUUCAUUUGUCAACAUAGAUAUGACAUCUGACAUGGUAGGGCGAUCUGCUGCAUUUUCUUCUACGCAAAGCAGACCGACAUGGAUGCAUCUUAACAGUUGCUCUUUAAUAAACGAAUUUCCUAAUGUUGGAUCCGUUAAUUCUAGCCCUGCACCUUUUUUCCAUAACUCCCAUGCCUGAAGAACAAGGAUUGCAUUUCAUUCUAAAGAAGAAAAAUAUGAUUAUAAAUUUUAAGAGAGAGAUUUGUUUGUCAUACAUAUCCUACUAAAUUGAGUGCGCGAUCGUCAUUGUAAAAGCUGUUGUUUUUCCUUCCACUUAUGAUUUCAAGCAUCAAUACCCCGAAACUGUAGACAUCAGACUUUACAGAAAUAAUUCCCCCCACGGACUCUGGAGGCAUGUAACCACUACACCAAAUGAAAAAGAAAAAUAGUCAGUAUACUUAUCUGGAAAAAUGCGUGUUUAGCAGUCAAAAGGGGAGGACCACGUCAAUAUGAUGCAGAAAUACUUACAGUGUCCCCGCAACCUUUCUAGUGUUUGCUUCCAAUUCAUUUUGGGUGAAAAUCCUUGCCAUACCAAAAUCUGAAAUUUUUGGGUUCAUGUUUUCAUCAAGUAGUAUGUUACUAGCUUUUACAUCUCUAUGAAUUACUUUCUUUCUUGAGUAUUUGUGCAGAUAAAGCAACCCUUGAGCAAUUCCUUCGAGAAUGCUAAAACGCUUCUUCCAAUCUAGUAGUAGACCUCUGAUUGGAUCUGUCCAAUAUGUUGAGUUAAGUAGGACUAAUAUUAAUUAAUAGUAGUACUCUAUGAACUUUGACAGUAAAAUAAAAAUCAGAUAGUAAAUUUAACAAAUGAAAUCAAGUAUCUUGGUUCCUCACCAAAUAAAAAGUGGUCCAAACUUUUGUUCUGCAGAUACUCAUAUAUCAACAUCAUUUCUUCACCAUGAAUGCAAAAUCCGAAAAGGUGAACCAGGUUUGUAUGUUGGAGUUCAUAUAUAAGUAUCAGUUCAUUCUUGAAUUCUGAUGUUCCUUGCCCUGAACAUUUCGAAAGCCUCUUCACAGCUAUUUCUUGUCCCGUUGCCAAUUUCCCCUGAAUUGAUAAUCCAUAUCAUGCUUUUGCUGUCAUUUUUAGGCAAUUGAAGCUAAUUCCAUUUUUUUUUUCUUACAGCUUUUGAAUUAGAAGCAGAAAUUUUUGUUUUUUCAAAAUGUUACCUUAUAAACCGGUCCAAACCCUCCUUGUCCUAGCUUGUUUUCUUCAGCAAAGUUUCUUGUGGCAGCCACGAUGGAUGAAUAGCUAAAAACGCUAAAAUCAUGAUGUCGCUUAGAUUCAUGAAGAUAAGCAUUUCGUUCUCAAGCGUUGUCCGGUUCUCACCUAUACAGAUCAAUUAUAAGAAAUUAAAGUUUCAAUGGAGACAACAAUUGUCAAAGAUGUGAUUAAUAAUCCUGUAUUACUGGUGCACAUGAUUUAAAGAAAUAUACCAGCUGAUGCAAGGGCUGAUCUUCUUCGUCGGAGUAGAUAGUACGCGGUGCAAAGCACUAGAGCAGCAGCUAUAGAAAUGCCAAUCCAAACCCAUUUAUCUGCUGCAUCAUAAACAAUUAGCUAGCAACAUAUGCAAUCAGUGUAACACACACGGACAUGUACGCAUUAAUUGUCUUCAAUUUUUGGAUGAACUAGGUCUUGCAGGUUUCUUCCGGAAAACGGAAAAAUUCGAGACAGAGAGCAGAACUUAAGACAACAAUAACAAAGAUAGAGGUACCUAAUAAUACUGAUUCCACGCGUGUCACAGAUUUCCGGCUCAAAUCGGGUUUGCAGCCUCGGUAUAUAUCCUUCGGAUCAAGAAAAGAAAACCCUUUUGGGCAUUCGCAGGUUGGCCUUUUAUCUGGUUUGAGCAUACAGGUACUGUUGUAACCGCAAACACCAACGCCCAGUCGUAGGCAAAUAUCAUCCGGCAUAUACACCAGAGGACUAAUCCAACUUGCAUUUCCCGUGAAGUUUUUCUGGUGAGAAUAUAAAGCGAAAAUCCCAUCAAAAUCAAGAGUUGCCCUUAUGUAGUUGUCCCUCACCGACACUCCCUCUGUCCCCUUAAGAGGGACUCUUCCAUCAUUUUCUCUUAGAACAAACAUGUCCCCUGAGCUGCUGAACACCAAUCGUUUGCCUUGACUACCUGGCACGUUCCCUGACGUGGUCUUCGUGGAGAAGUAAGGGAUGUUGGCAUUAUCUGUUGUGACGGAAAUGAGCACGAGGUUUCCAUCACCUUGCAAGCUCAGCCGGAACCGCCCUUUUGUGUAGUUAGUCUCCGAUUGUCUACACGAAAGCGUCCCGUUUCUCUCAAUUGUCUGUCCAGGCAAAACGGUGUCUGUAGGAUUGCUGAAGGUCUCCCACAAGCUCCCCGAGUUUUGGUGUUGAAGGACGAAGUUUCCGGUGUCAUUCAUGACCCCGUUCGCAACAGUCCCCAAGGUUAUUUCGGAUUUCCAUAUCUCUCCACCCUGAGGAUUGUUAAGAACUAGUCCACUGUUGGCAGUCAAGUUCAGAACUGAUCCCCUAGGUGCAACCAUGGGGUUGUUACCGUCAUAUGCAUACCAAAACUACGGUUUUGUCUGGGAUUUUCGCAUACCAUAUCGAAAGCAAGAAACGAUCAUUGUUUCCGAGGGGCGAAAAUCCAAACGCGAAAUCACCGGAAGGAGAAAGCCAUGAUGAGGAGUCGCCUGUAGUUGCAGUUAGAGAACUCCCAACUGCUACUCUUCCAUUAUUUUGGGAAAUCACAGAAAUUGGUAGCAAAAACAAAGAGGAGAACAAAAGCAUCUCUACAGAAAGAGCCACUGCCAUUGCAAAAGCACCAAUUUUUCAACUUGGCUUGAUUGAUUAGCUAUAUUUCUUAGUAAAGCAUUGGUCCUUGUUAUAUCUUUAAGUAAAUGCGUGUGCACCAUGUGCCUGUCAUUUUCUAAGUUUUUGCCUGGAAUUAAAGGCGUCUACACCAUUUUUUGAAGUCACACACAACAAUAUCUCCGGGCCUACAGAAUAAAUUCUCCGAACCUACACAUAUCACAAGAAUUUCACUUUGAAAAAAAAAAUAUAAUGAAUAGUUCUAUAUAUAAUGACACCGAGACUUUUUGUGAUUGAAUUUAUUCUCUCUCAACUCCUUUGUAAUGUUGCAAGUUGGAGCAAUAUUGACGUAAUUAGCAAUGGUCCGCUGACUUGUCUCUCUCAAAUCUCUUAUCAUCCUACUCUCAUCCCUCGUCUGUUUUAUGAUUCUACUUACUUAAGCACUUAUAAAUGUUCCAAAUCAGCAAAGGACUUGUAACUUAAAUAAUUAAUAAUAUUUAUCACUACACUCGAGAUUCUAGGUUCCAAAAUAUAAUAUAUAAUAUAUAUGAAUGUUUCCGAACCAAAAGGACAAGUAAAUACGAGCAUGACUCACGCUGCAUGGGUCGGCCAUUCAAGUCCACCAGUCAAAAUUCAACAAUGGGGCCCACAAAGAAAAUUUGAAAAAGUACAUGCAGAUUGGGGACGGAUACAAAGAAAAUCUGAAAACAGACCUCCAGAACCAAACAAAGACGACUAAGCCUUUAAGUCAAGUGACAAGAGACUUAUAUCUUCACAAAAACAAAGACGACUAAGUCUCAAUUUCUGUAUUCACAAAAAAAAAAGUACUAACUGAAGUUUUUAAUGUAUGAUUACGUCGUUGGGGUAAAACACCCGAUGCCGAGUUGAGAUAAUCACAGGGUUGGGGAAUCAAGAACCUCUUCGAAUGUCACAAUCUAGCGCAAACGGAUGUAGAGACUCAAACCACUUAUUUUAAAUCAUACGGCCUUCAUUAGCCUAUCCUAUUGACCCACAUGGUCCAAAUCUGUCUCUCCCCUCUCUUGAACGGUUUGGAUAUCUCGAUUUGUCGAUUUUGGAUUGCGAGAUUCAAAGAGAAUCUGAUUUCAUGUUUGAGGUGAGGUUUGACGACCAUUUGAAGCCCGUUGAGGCGUGGCCCAUCUCAUCAGGUCGGGUCAGCCAUUUCGUACCAGGUUGGAUCCCAGGUCAGGCCAACCAUUUCAUUAGCCUAAGAUGGACCUGACAGACGAGGCGCUUGGAUAUUGCCUACCGCGACCAAAUGGACCCAUGGACUCAUUAGAUGAUGAGUCUGGACCCUGGUGUGUGUAAAGCCCACCUCAGCUCGAUCCAUAUUCGAUCGAUACUACAAAGAAGGUGGAUAUGAGGUAAAGGUAGAGUAAGCUCCAAGUCAUGUGGAGGUCAGUCGAGAUUGAACACACGUUCAUAGAAUCAUAGUAUCAAAUUCAAGUCCAAAUUUUAACACUACGAAACCGAAAAGCAUUGUUUCAGUCCAACAACCCAAACUUCCUUAAAAAAACUAAGACAAAAACGACGACACUAGGAAACGGAAAAACAUGCAACUCAGAAAACCAUUACUCUAGUCCAAAUGAGGUUCCUCAAUGCCUCAAGCUUUUAUAAAACACCAUAGCCUGAACCUUUUCCUUUGCGCCUUCUUUGCUUCACCAGAAACGUUCUUAAUGAGCUCCUCUUCAAAUUUGGGACGAGCAGGCAUUAGGCUGUGCACAAUGCUGUAAACGCCCCUAGCCCUUGCCACACCCUAGGUGCGUACGCGUGCAUGUCCG
RNAcentral lists this long non-coding RNA (19089 nucleotides) under Malus domestica (apple). RNAcentral's name for it is "long non-coding RNA (MDOM_LNC005214)". Lineage: Eukaryota; Viridiplantae; Streptophyta; Magnoliopsida; Rosales; Rosaceae. The record is from RNAcentral.